Hemicordylus capensis (graceful crag lizard) is the source of this 1967-nucleotide RNA transcript. It is a transcript of the gene named SLAM family member 5-like, with no coding region annotated. NCBI's taxonomy places the organism in Eukaryota, Metazoa, Chordata, Lepidosauria, Squamata, Cordylidae. The transcript is spliced from 5 exons. The record is from RefSeq and is a predicted model, not a curated record.
AGGGGUUUGGAAUCUGGGGGAGGAGGGGAUGGCUCCCUUCACUCGGUUGCGACACACCCACCUCGUCGGGCUUCUCAUUCCACCCGGCUUGCUACAUUUCAGCACUCCCAGCUGGGAAGGAAGCGAGGCUCAGUGUCAAAGUCUCUGAGGAGGUUUCCUUAAUCCUGUCCUCUUUAUGAAGUGGUGACCAAAGAAGUAGGCACAUGUGUGUGUACAGGAGGAGUUCGUGCCACAAAGGAAACGAUGCUGAUGAAGCACUGGAGCAGAAGCCUCCCGAGCCCUCUUAUGCUGGCAGCGAUAAUCUGCCUCUUCUCUGGCACAGUUGCUAAGCAAGCAGAGAAUGGGCCCCAUCAGGUGAACGGGGUCCUGGGAGGAACAGCCUUUCUUCCUGUAACACUGAAAGUAGGAAAAGUAGCACGCCACAUAGAAUGGACCUUCCAGAACACCAGUCAUAGGCGUGUGAUUGCCCAGUUUGAGAAUGGAGAACUGGAGCUGCCUAAUUCCAGGGACGGAUUUGGAUUGCAGCUAGAAAGGGCCAACGAGACCACCCUGAAGAUCAAGGACCUGAAGAUGGAAGAUGCUGGCAAGUAUAAGGCUCAUGUGAAACUUGGUACAACAGGAAUUCAAGAUGCCAGCUUCAACCUUGCUGUUUAUGAGCCAGUUCCAGAACCUAAGAUACUCUACAAUCUAACCAGAACUCCAGACCGGUGCAAUGUGACCCUGCAGUGUCAGGUGUCAGGAAACGGGGGAUUUAACGUCACCUGGAAAAGAGGGGAUCGUCCACUCAGGGCCUGGGAAGAAGGGCCUGGGGGCUGGUAUCAGCUAUCUGGCAAUGGCAGAGACCUCCGCUUGUUGCUCUGGCCACCCAGUUCUUCAGACUCUGACUUCAGCUGCCAGGUCAGCAACCCGGCAGAUUGUAAACAGAGCCUGGUCAACUUGCGCAGCAUCUGUCCCAAUGCAGGCAAAAGUGUGCACCUUGGAGGGUGUGGUUACUUGUUGCUUUUGUGUUGCUGGAUCUCAUUGUGGCUGCAGCAUUUGGGAUUAUCUGGCUAAAGAAGGAAGGAAGAAGGCUAGCAAAAGGAGGUAGGAAUAAGGCUGAACCAAAGCUCAUUUUUAAAAAACAAAUCUGCUUGAAAUCCAGAGACAAGGAUGAAAAGGAAAGUGAUUUGCAGCUCAGGAUUCCUAAAGAACUGCCAUAUUCCAUACGAGCCUCAGCCUGCCAAAGAGCUGAGUUCUGCAAAAAAACCAAACCCUUCUCAGCUUGCCCCAACCUUGAGAGAUGGAGGCGAACAACCAGGAAAACAGCCUUUCUGAUGGUGUGGACCCCCUGCUAACAGAGCAAAGAAGCACCGUUUUCAAAGUGGAGAUUCUCUUUACUUAGCAACUGGGGAGAGCAACUGGCCUUAUCCACCCCCAGCACAGCAUCCCUCCAGUGACUGUUGCUAGUGUCUCUCUUAGGUUUAUUUUUAGAGUGUGAGCCCUUUGGGGACAGGAGAUCAUCUUAUUUAUUUGUUAUUUCUCUGUGUAAACUGCCCUGAGCCAGUUUUGGAAAAGCAGAAUAGAAAUCAAAUAAAUAAAUAAAUAAAUAAAUAAAUAAUAUUGGAGCUCCCUCUCUGGGUUGGGAGCGUUAUCCAGACUUUUCUUCACUGACCUUGGAAUCUUCGUCGUUUUUUGCUCAGUGUCCAGAUAUUUUCACAUGGCUCUUCUGUUUUAUUAAGGAUGGUUUAUAUAAUGCUGCUCCAUAUUUUGUAUGUGUAUUCUCCCCCUUCCACUGCUUUUAAAGAUUUUAGGUAAUUUUGUGAACUUUUGUCUUUAAUUUCUGUAACCCACAUUGGGAAUUGGUUUUAAUUGCAAAAAAGGGCUGAAAAGAAAAUCUCAAGUAAAAUUUUGUUUGUUACUGUAUUGUAACACUAGAUGGCAUCUAUUUGCCAGUAAAUGACGAAAUAAAAGCUUAGAGGCGUACAGAA